CAUUGACAAAGGCCAAAGUUGCACACCCAGCCUUGCCCAGUGAUAUGAGGGAAAUCACAUUUUCUUGAUGCUUGUGGAAUGAAAGUGGCAGCUGUUACCAUGGAAAUAGUCAAUUUCUGAAAGAAGAAGUUUUGAGGAGGCUGAAUAUCACCACUAAUCUAAGAGAUUGCAGUCAAGACAAAAGGUUAAAGUUGGAGAUGCGCUAAUUAGGAGGUUGUUGCCUCUCUGGUAAUGUGAGGAUGGAUACAAAGGUGAUGAUCUGCUGCCAGAAUAAAUAAAUCUUAGGAAGUGCCAAGACUGCUCAGCCAUUUGCUGCGAUACCACUCCCACAUAAGGAACCUGUAUCAUCACCUUUUUUCAAGCAGCUUCUCCACCGUGGGCAUAAUCAAACUCUGAAGGGUCAAGAUUUUCUGCAGAAGUU
Molecule: long non-coding RNA, 421 nt
Filed under: Anser brachyrhynchus (Pink-footed goose)
Lineage: Eukaryota; Metazoa; Chordata; Aves; Anseriformes; Anatidae
Description: lncRNA (ENSABRG00000022070.1)
Source: RNAcentral